Mesocricetus auratus (golden hamster) is the source of this 1157-nucleotide long non-coding RNA. RefSeq lists it as uncharacterized. NCBI's taxonomy places the organism in Eukaryota, Metazoa, Chordata, Mammalia, Rodentia, Cricetidae. The transcript has 4 exons. The record is from RefSeq and is a predicted model, not a curated record.
GCCUUCCAUCCUGGCCGUUCCCAGGUCUCUUUCCCUCGCUUUAGGGACAUUUUACCGUCUAGGUCAACAUCUCCCUCCAGAGCGGGUAGCAGGGAUUCCGCCCAAAGCUGAGCUCACCCCACCAGGACUUCUGUGUGAAAGAAACCAUAGUUAAGGGAAAGCAGGGUGUGGAGGGCGCUGGCAGCCGGGAACCGCCUUGCUCUUCUCCGGAGAAGCGAUUAAAUUCAGGAUGGAAGAGUCACUAAGGUUGAGAAUUCUGUGCAGCAGAGCACGGCUAAACCUUGGCGAAAGCUAAAAGAGCUGGACCCAGGACAGUCCCGAAGAAGCAAACCCAGAGGGAGGGAAGCAGAGGACCGCCGGGCUCUGUCUCCUUGCUCGUCACCUGCCUAAAACAAGCGUACAGUUCCUCUCGUCCCUGCUGCCUCCCUCAGACUCAGCAAGUCUCAGAGAGCUCUUGGGGUUUCUCAUGGCUCUUUGUCUUCAAUCCCUGGGAGAAGGUCACUCAAGCCCAUGCUUGAGAUGACUGCCUGAUGGUUUCAAGCCUCCACAUCAUACCCAGCUAUUUUAUUUGAAUUUCAAAUACACCUUAAAACUUCAUAAUAGACCUUUAUCUGGAAAUAUGUCAAACUCAAAAUUGACUUCUUGGGGGGUAAUAAGGAAGAAGAAUGGCAGCAAUUGAUGGUUUGUUCACAUAAACUGCAUAGUGCAAAGCUGUGUUGCCAUUUGCAUCCUUUAUUUGGGUCAGCCCCAUAUUGAAGGAGUAAAGAUACAAUGGUUUCUUCACACAUUUGUACUGCCUGUUAGUAUUGUAUCAAAAAACCCACUGUCAAUUCUAGAAAUGUAAUACAGUGGUUUUCCCCAACUAGCUGUGGAUUUUUAAUUAUUUUGCGAGUAUGGGUAUUUUACCUGCUCACAUGUCUGUGCACCCCUUGGGUGCAGUGCCCUCAGAGGCCAGAAGAGGGCAUCAGAUACCCUGACACUGUAAUUACAGACGGGUGUGAGCCACCUCGUGGAUGCUGGGAAUCAAACGGAAUACUAGGAAAGCAGUCGUUGCUUUUAACCCCUGAAUCACCUCCCCAGGCCCCAGUUAGCUAUAUUUAAAUGUGGUGAAUCCAUUUUCCUCCUAAGCAUUUCCAUUAAAUCCUUCUCCACUGAAA